CACGGAGGGUGCAAGCGUUAGUCGGAAUUACUGGGCGUAAAGCGUGCGUAGGCGGCCUGUUAAGUCAGAUGUGAAAGCCCAGGGCUUAACCUGGGAACGGCAUUUGAAACUGGCAAGCUAGAGUUAGGUAGAGGGGAGUGGAAUUUCAGGUGUAGCGGUGAAAUGCGUAGAUAUCUGAAGGAGCACCAGUGGCGAAGGCGACUCCCUGGACCCAAACUGACGCUGAGGUACGAAAGCGUGGGUAGCAAACAGG
RNAcentral lists this ribosomal RNA (253 nucleotides) under uncultured bacterium. RNAcentral describes it as "partial 16S ribosomal RNA". It matches the Rfam family "Bacterial small subunit ribosomal RNA", at positions 524 to 776 of the family's 1533-position model. The record is from RNAcentral.